RNAcentral lists this ribosomal RNA (503 nucleotides) under uncultured bacterium. RNAcentral's name for it is "bacterial SSU rRNA". It matches the Rfam family "Bacterial small subunit ribosomal RNA", at positions 28 to 497 of the family's 1533-position model. The record is from RNAcentral.
GACGAACGCUGGCGGCGUGCCUAAUACAUGCAAGUCGAGCGAGCGGAACCAACAGAUUUACUUCGGUAAUGACGUUGGGAAAGCGAGCGGCGGAUGGGUGAGUAACACGUGGGGAACCUGCCCCUAAGUCUGGGAUACCAUUUGGAAACAGGUGCUAAUACCGGAUAAUAAAGCAGAUCGCAUGAUCAGCUUUUUGAAAGGCGGCGUAAGCUGUCGCUAAGGGAUGGCCCCGCGGUGCAUUAGCUAGUUGGUAAGGUAACGGCUUACCAAGGCGACGAUGCAUAGCCGAGUUGAGAGACUGAUCGGCCACAUUGGGACUGAGACACGGCCCAAACUCCUACGGGAGGCAGCAGUAGGGAAUCUUCCACAAUGGACGCAAGUCUGAUGGAGCAACGCCGCGUGAGUGAAGAAGGUUUUCGGAUCGUAAAGCUCUGUUGUUGGUGAAGAAGGAUAGAGGUAGUAACUGGCCUUUAUUUGACGGUAAUCAACCAGAAAGUCACGGC